AUUUGAAGGAAUCCUUAAGCAUCAGAGGUGAUAUUAGAGAUUCUCCCUAAACUUUUUUGACAAUAUAAAAGAUAUGUUUAAAAAAUCGCAUCAA
Molecule: small RNA, 94 nt
Filed under: Olea europaea subsp. europaea
Lineage: Eukaryota; Viridiplantae; Streptophyta; Magnoliopsida; Lamiales; Oleaceae
Source: RNAcentral